ACUCAAAUGAAUUGACGGGGGCCCGCACAAGUGGUGGAGCAUGUGGUUUAAUUCGACGCUACGCGAAGAACCUUACCUGGGUUUGAAAUUCACAGGAAGACUCCAGAGAUGGUGUUCGUCCUUCGGGACUUGUGAACAGGUGCUGCAUGGCUGUCGUCAGCUCGUGCCGUGAGGUGUUGGGUUAAGUCCCGCAACGAGCGCAACCCUUGUCCUUAGUUGCCAUCGGGUGAUGCCGGGCACUCUGGGGAGACUGCCAACACAAGUUGGAGGAAGGUAGGGAUGACGUCAAGUCAGCAUGGCCCUUACGUCCAGGGCUACACACGUGCUACAAUGGUCGGUACAAAGGGCUGCCAACCCGCGAGGGGGAGCGAAUCCCAUAAAGCCGAUCUCAGUUCGGAUUGCAGGCUGCAACUCGCCUGCAUGAAGUCGGAAUCACUAGUAACCGCAGAUCAGCUACGCUGCGGUGAAUACGUUCCCGGGCCUUGUACACACCGCCCGU
This 499-nucleotide ribosomal RNA is filed under the name uncultured bacterium. RNAcentral describes it as "partial 16S ribosomal RNA". It matches the Rfam family "Bacterial small subunit ribosomal RNA", at positions 899 to 1397 of the family's 1533-position model. The record is from RNAcentral.